ACGCUCGACACCUACGGGAAGCAGCAGUAGGGAAUCUUCCACAAUGGGCGCAAGCCUGAUGGAGCAACACCGCGUGAGUGAAGAAGGGUUUCGGCUCGUAAAGCUCUGUUGUUGGAGAAGAACGUGCGUGAGAGUAACUGUUCACGCAGUGACGGUAUCCAACCAGAAAGUCACGGCUAACUACGUGCCAACAGCCGCGGUAAUCUGAGGCCGGGCUGGCAAGGC
RNAcentral lists this ribosomal RNA (225 nucleotides) under uncultured bacterium. Its description in RNAcentral is "partial 16S ribosomal RNA". It matches the Rfam family "Bacterial small subunit ribosomal RNA", at positions 326 to 539 of the family's 1533-position model. The record is from RNAcentral.